RNAcentral lists this ribosomal RNA (258 nucleotides) under uncultured bacterium. RNAcentral's name for it is "partial 16S ribosomal RNA". It matches the Rfam family "Bacterial small subunit ribosomal RNA", at positions 524 to 777 of the family's 1533-position model. The record is from RNAcentral.
UACGUAGGGUGCGAGCGUUGUCCGGAAUUAUUGGGCGUAAAGAGCUCGUAGGUGGUCUGUCGCGUCGGCUGUGAAAACUCGGGGCUCAACCCCGAGCCUGCAGUCGAUACGGGCAGACUCGAGUGCGGUAGGGGGAGACUGGAAUUCCUGGUGUAGCGGUGAAAUGCGCAGAUAUCAGGAGGAACACCGGCGGCGAAGGCGGGGUCUCUGGGCCGUAACUGACACUGAGGAGCGAAAAGCGUGGGGGAGCGAACAGGA